ACCUAAACCUUUCAAUCUCAUCUCACGCCGUUUUCACUUUCUCUACUACUCUACCUGUAACCUGUAUAAGUUUCACUUUCAUCUCACGUUGGAGGACAAAUUUUUUCAAAGCUUGUAGCAGUUAACCUCUUCAGUUCUUCAUUGAUUUUGCAAAGAUGUCCAAUAUGGCAGCAUCUGUUGAGGGCAAUGUUUCACCCCCUUUAUCAAAUUCAACGACUGAAGCUUAAAGUCAAAUCAACAACACAAGAGGGACUACAAGUAAACGAAAAGCUAUUCCUUUAAUGUCAGAAGUAUGGUGUCAUUUUACUAAGUUUGUUAAUAGUGAGGGUGAAAGUAAGGGUAGAUGCAAUCAUUGUGAUAAAGAAUUUCGUUGUGAUUGGAAAGAAAUGGAACUAGGUCAUUGAUAUAUCACAUGAAACAGUGUAAGAAAAAUCCUAACAACAUUGACACUAAUCAAGGCAAUUUAGUGUUACCUAGUAAGGGUCUUGGAGGGGAAGUAGGACAUCUUACAACUUAGAAAUUUGAUCAAGAAACAAUUAGAAAAGUUUUAGCCCAAAUGAUUGUGAUUGAUGAAUUGCCUUUCAAGUUUGUUGAGAGUGAAGGAUUUAGAAAAUUUAUGUUUGUAGCAUGCCCCAAGUUUCGUAUUCCUUCAAGAUGGACUAUAACUAGAGAUAUUUAUCAGUUGUACUUGGAUGAAAGGAGUAAGCUGAAACAAUAUUUAAGAAGUUCAUGUUCUAGAGUUUGUUUAACUAUUGAUACAUGGACCUCUAUGCAAAGAGUUAAUUAUAUGUGUCUCAUUGUGCACUUUAUUGAUAACGAUUGGAAAUUGAAUAAGAAAAUCAUAAGUUUUAUCCAAUUUCUAGUCAUAAGGGAGAUGCAAUUGGGAUUAUGAUUGAGAAAUGCUUAUUAGAUUGGGGGAUUGAUAAGUUGUUUACUGUCACUGUUGAUAAUGCAACUUCGAAUGAUAUUGCUAUUGCUUAUUUAAGAAAGAGAUUUAGUCCUUGAGGGGGUUGCAUUGCAAAUGGUAAAUAUCUUCAUAUAAUAUGUAUUGCACAUAUUGUGAAUUUGAUUGUUGUUGAAGGUUUAAAGGAAAUGAACAAAUCUAUUGCACGUGUUAGGGGGGCUGUGAAAUAUGUGAGACAAUCUCCAGCUAGAUUAAAAAAGUUCAUGGACUGUGUUGAGAUGGAAA
Molecule: long non-coding RNA, 1189 nt
Organism: Hibiscus syriacus
Lineage: Eukaryota; Viridiplantae; Streptophyta; Magnoliopsida; Malvales; Malvaceae
Exons: 2
Source: RefSeq, a predicted model, not a curated record